Long non-coding RNA from Mercurialis annua (annual mercury), 1110 nucleotides. RefSeq lists it as uncharacterized. Lineage: Eukaryota; Viridiplantae; Streptophyta; Magnoliopsida; Malpighiales; Euphorbiaceae. The record is from RefSeq and is a predicted model, not a curated record. The transcript has 3 exons.
UUUGCUCAUUCUUAAUAUCUUUCUAGCCACUUACAACCAUUGCCUAAUUUCUUAAGAUGGAAAGGAAAAACAAAACUCAGAGAAAGUAAGAAAAUUCUCAAACCUAACUGCAACUAUGUACAAAGUUUGGAAUCUUUGAAAAAGUAGGAACGCGCGUAUCUUUUAGAGAAGGAAUAUUUCGGCAGAGGAGGUAGUUUUUGAAAGCUUCACUGCAGCAACAAAUCUAUACUAUUCUAUAAUCCUGAACUCCACAAAAUCUUUUAACCUGGUUGUGCCACGUGGCUCUUUUAAAUAAUGACACGUAGACUCUCAGCCCAUUAACUCUGCCACAAACAAAAGCGUUGCAGAAGUGAAACCAUACACAACCGUUCGGCGUCUUUCCGCCUUCUUCAGCAACUUCCAUCGCCCAUUACAACCUCCUUGCCCUUUACACCGUUGCACCCAUUAGCUAUUCAGCUUCCAUCGCCCUUUACACUGCCCUUUACAACGUUACAUGACAGUGCAGACGGAAGGACUUAAAUGGACUCCAGACUCAUAUAUGCGGCCCCAUAUAUAUUCGAAAAAGACAGCAACAAUCGUCUUCAGCACCCAGAAAAGCAAAACGUUCUCAAUCGUCUUCAUCACCCAGAAAAGCAAAACGUUUACAAUCGUCUUCGUCACCCAGGAAAGCAAAACGUGGGAACCCAACAAUCUCGGCAACCCAGGUAGUAAAUCAUAUUAUUGGAUUUAUAUAGUAUGUGCCUUCACUUCAGUAUAUAUAAGGAUUUAGUUUGCGCUCCACAAAAGAAGAGGUCUGUCGAGAUUGUGGGGUAAUGAGUUUCCUCUGUGAAGGUAAAAGAAACACAAUGCUUGCUUUAUUUUUAUGAGAUUACUUGAGCUAUGAAAAUUAAAUCAAUACAUGCUUUGGGGAUGUAUUUCUCUAUAAAUUGUAAACUCAGCAAGUUUUGUAGUGACAAUAACAUAAAUGGAACCGAAGCUUUCUUCACUAGAUGAGCAUGAAACAGAUUCUCAAUGAGGAAAAUAAAAACGCUAUUCCAACUUCAUAGGAGUAUUGUUUAUACACAAUUGGAAUUAGAAGCUCAUUUCAUAAUACACAAGAGUUUCUGUGCU